UGCAAUAUUAGAAGGCAAGAACAUAAAAUAUGAAUGCAAUAUUACAAUGCAUGAGCAUAUAAUACAACCAUGUCAUCAAAUACUACAGUACUGGCACUGAUGAGUAACUUCCUGAAUGAUGAGAUAGAAGCCUUAUCAGCAAUAUAUGGUACAGAUUUCCAUACUGAGAGUGCAGAACAUAGGACAUAUAGCAUUGAUAUUGCAGAAGGGGUCAACACAGCUCUUUUACAGGUGACCAUGCCUCCGGAAUAUCCAGGGGAAUCCCCUCCCAUGUACAUGCUCAGUGCCCCGUGGUUGAAGGGAAUGAAACGACAGGAGCUGUGUGGAUACCUGGAAGAAAUAUAUUUAGAAAAUGCUGGAGAAAGUAUUGCCUAUAUGUGGGUGGAGAAAAUACGAGAAUUCAUGACAGAACAAGCUGCACAAGAACUUGUGGUUGAAGAGAAGACUUCAAUCACUGAUGCUGUUGACAAACUGAAGUUGAGUUCUGAAGAGGAAGUGCAGUGUCCUGAGAUAUUUUCUGGGGACAUUAUCAGUGAUCGUAAGAGCCACUUCCAGCCUCAUCUUGCUGCAGUUAGGUCCACAGCAGAAGUGAAUGCUGUAUUAAGAAAACUGUACCAGAAUAAGAAGGUGGCCAAUGCCACACACAACAUGUAUGCUUACCGAUUCACCCCUGAAGGCUCUUCUAACCUACAUCAAGAUUGUGAAGACGAUGGUGAGGACCAUGCUGGUGGACGGAUGCUUCACCUUCUUCAAUUCAUAAGAUGUUGAGAAAGGACUUUCUAAUAAGAUGUUAUUUUAUCAGGCUAACAUAAAAGUCAGUGAAGGCUAAGCAAAUGUUAUCAGAUUGUAGAUGCCCAGAAUGUCUUGGUUGUGGUCUCAAGAUGGUUUGGGGGCAUCCUUCUGGGGCCUGACAGAUUCAAGCAUAUAAACAAUGCUACAAGGCAGAUACUUGAAAACUGUGGAUAUAUAAAGCAUCACGAAAGCACUAAAAGAAAUAAAAAGACAAAGUAG
RNAcentral lists this unclassified non-coding RNA (1011 nucleotides) under Penaeus chinensis. Its description in RNAcentral is "protein IMPACT-B-like, transcript variant X2". The record is from RNAcentral. Lineage: Eukaryota; Metazoa; Arthropoda; Malacostraca; Decapoda; Penaeidae.